AGCCUCCUGGUGCUUAUCACAGGCUGUGUUCCUAGAAAGGGGAGGCAGAGUAAACCUGCCCCAAUUACACCUUAGCCCAGGCUCUCUUGUGCCUAGUCCCAAUUGUAAAUGGAAGGACGUGG
Tupaia belangeri (northern tree shrew) is the source of this 122-nucleotide small nucleolar RNA. The record is from Ensembl. NCBI's taxonomy places the organism in Eukaryota, Metazoa, Chordata, Mammalia, Scandentia, Tupaiidae.